This 489-nucleotide ribosomal RNA is filed under the name uncultured bacterium. RNAcentral's name for it is "partial 16S ribosomal RNA". It matches the Rfam family "Bacterial small subunit ribosomal RNA", at positions 30 to 507 of the family's 1533-position model. The record is from RNAcentral.
UUGAACGCUGGCGGCAGGCCUAACACAUGCAAGUCGAACGGUAACAGGAAGAAGCUUGCUUCUUUGCUGACGCGUGGCGGACGGGUGAGUAAUGCCUGGGAAACUGCCUGAUGGAGGGGGAUAACUACUGGAAACGGUAGCUAAUACCGCAUAACGUCGCAAGACCAAAAAGGGGGACCUUCGGGCCUCUUGCCAUCGGAUGUGCCCAGAUGGGAUUAGCUAGUAGGUGGGGUAACGGCUCACCUAGGCGACGAUCCCUAGCUGGUCUGAGAGGAUGACCAGCCACACUGGAACUGAGACACGGUCCAGACUCCUACGGGAGGCAGCAGUGGGGAAUAUUGCACAAUGGGCGCAAGCCUGAUGCAGCCAUGCCGCGUGUAUGAAGAAGGCCUUCGGGUUGUAAAGUACUUUCAGCGGGGAGGAAGGGAGUAAAGUUAAUACCUUUGCUCAUUGACGUUACCCGCAGAAGAAGCACCGGCUAACUCCGUG